CAGCAGCCGCGGUAAUUCCAGCUCCAAUAGCGUAUUGUAAAGUUGUUGCAGUUAAAAAGCUCGUAGUUGGAUUUCGGGCUCGACGACGACGGUCAGCCGCAAGGUAUGUUACUGUCGGCGUUGGCCUUCUUCGCGCAGACUUCGCGUGCUCUUAACUGAGUGUGCGUUGGAUACGCGACGUUUACUUUGAAAAAAUUAGAGUGUUCAAAGCAGGCUUUUGCUUGGAUACAUAAGCAUGGAAUAAUGGAAUAGGACUUUGGUUCUAUUUUCCGUUGGUUUCUGGAACCGAAGUAAUGAUUAAUAGGGACAGUUGGGGGCAUUCGUAUUUCGUUGUCAGAGGUGAAAUUCUUGGAUUUACGAAAGACGAACUAAUGCGAAAGCAUUUGCCAAGAAUGUUUUCAUUAAUCAAGAACGAAAGUUAGAGGAUCGAAGACGAUCAGAUACCGUCCUAGUUCUAACCAUAAACGAUGCCGACUAGGGAUCAGCGAGUGUUAUUUGAUGACUUCGUUGGCACCUUAUGGGAAACCAAAGUUUUUGGGUUCCGGGGGAAGUAUGGUUGCAAAGCUGAAACUUAAAGGAAUUGACGGAAGGGCACCACCAGGAGUGGAGCCUGCGGCUUAAUUUGACUCAACACGGG
This 637-nucleotide ribosomal RNA is filed under the name Pseudopterogorgia sp. C5687. Its description in RNAcentral is "SSU rRNA". It matches the Rfam family "Eukaryotic small subunit ribosomal RNA", at positions 568 to 1209 of the family's 1831-position model. Lineage: Eukaryota; Metazoa; Cnidaria; Anthozoa; Malacalcyonacea; Gorgoniidae. The record is from RNAcentral. RNAcentral also lists the same sequence under 2 other names.